CAGCAGCCGCGGUAAUACGUAGGGUGCGAGCGUUAAUCGGAAUUACUGGGCGUAAAGCGUGCGCAGGCGGUUAUAUAAGACAGAUGUGAAAUCCCCGGGCUCAACCUGGGACCUGCAUUUGUGACUGUAUAGCUAGAGUACGGUAGAGGGGGAUGGAAUUCCGCGUGUAGCAGUGAAAUGCGUAGAUAUGCGGAGGAACACCGAUGGCGAAGGCAAUCUCCUGGACCUGUACUGACGCCCAUGCACGAAAGCGUGGGGAGCAAACAGGAUUAGAUACCCCUGUAGUCCCUGUCUCUUAUAC
Molecule: ribosomal RNA, 301 nt
Filed under: uncultured bacterium
Lineage: Bacteria
Description: partial 16S ribosomal RNA
Rfam family: Bacterial small subunit ribosomal RNA
Source: RNAcentral